This 357-nucleotide ribosomal RNA is filed under the name uncultured fungus. RNAcentral describes it as "eukaryotic LSU rRNA". It matches the Rfam family "Eukaryotic large subunit ribosomal RNA", at positions 40 to 398 of the family's 3401-position model. Lineage: Eukaryota; Fungi. The record is from RNAcentral.
AUAUCAAUAAGCGGAGGAAAAGAAACCAACCGGGAUUACCUCAGUAACGGCGAGUGAAGCGGUAACAGCUCAAAUUUGAAAUCUGGCUUCGGCCCGAGUUGUAAUUUGUAGAAGAUGCUUCGGGUGUAGCUCCGGUCUAAGUUCCUUGGAACAGGACGUCAUAGAGGGUGAGAAUCCCGUAUGUGACUGGGUGCUUUCGCCUAUGUGAAGCUCUUUCGACGAGUCGAGUUGUUUGGGAAUGCAGCUCAAAAUGGGUGGUAUAUUUCAUCUAAAGCUAAAUAUUGGCCAGAGACCGAUAGCGCACAAGUAGAGUGAUCGAAAGAUGAAAAGCACUUUGGAAAGAGAGUUAAACAGUAC